Molecule: ribosomal RNA, 433 nt
Filed under: uncultured bacterium
Lineage: Bacteria
Description: partial 16S ribosomal RNA
Rfam family: Bacterial small subunit ribosomal RNA
Source: RNAcentral
AACGAACGCUGGCGGCAGGCCUAACACAUGCGAGUCGAGCGAGGACUUCGGUUCUAGCGGCGGACGGGUGAGUAACGCGUGGGAAUGUGCCCUUCUCUACGGAAUAGCCCUGGGAAACUGGGAGUAAUACCGUAUACGCCCUAUUGGGGAAAGAUUUAUCGGAGAAGGAUCAGCCCGCGUUGGAUUAGGUAGUUGGUGGGGUAAUGGCCUACCAAGCCGACGAUCCAUAGCUGGUUUGAGAGGAUGAUCAGCCACACUGGGACUGAGACACGGCCCAGACUCCUACGGGAGGCAGCAGUGGGGAAUCUUAGACAAUGGGGGCAACCCUGAUCGAGCCAUGCCGCGUGAGUGAUGAAGGCCUUAGGGUUGUAAAGCUCUUUCAGCUGGGAAGAUAAUGACGGUACCAGCAGAAGAAGCCCCGGCUAACUCCGUG